AAUCUUCCGCAAUGGGCGAAAGCCUGACGGAGCAACGCCGCGUGGGUGAUGAAGACCCUCGGGUUGUAAAGCCCUGUCGGAGGGGAAGAACGCAAUGACGGUACCCUCCAAGAAAGCCCCGGCUAACUACGUGCCAGCAGCCGCGGUAAUACGUAGGGGGCAAGCGUUAUCCGGAUUUACUGGGCGUAAAGCGCGUUAAGGCGGCCGGCAAAGUUGGGGGUGAAAUGCCAGGGCUCAACCCUGGAACUGCCUCCAAUACUGGUCGGCUAGAGUGCGAGAGAGGAAGGUGGAAUUCCCGGUGUAGUAGUGAAAUGCGUAGAUAUCGGGAGGAACACCAGUGGCGAAGGCGGCCUUCUGGCUCGCAACUGACGCUGUAGCGCGAAAGCGUGGGGAGCGA
RNAcentral lists this ribosomal RNA (397 nucleotides) under uncultured bacterium. RNAcentral's name for it is "bacterial SSU rRNA". It matches the Rfam family "Bacterial small subunit ribosomal RNA", at positions 360 to 771 of the family's 1533-position model. The record is from RNAcentral.